This 322-nucleotide long non-coding RNA is filed under the name Anas platyrhynchos (mallard). Its description in RNAcentral is "lncRNA (ENSAPLG00020009177.1)". Lineage: Eukaryota; Metazoa; Chordata; Aves; Anseriformes; Anatidae. The record is from RNAcentral.
UCUUGACUGUUUCUAUCUCUUUUUGCUUAAUGUUUGCUUUUUUUUUUUUUUUUUUUUCCCUAGCAGUUAAGUUUGAUGUUAAUGGAAAACCCAUUUAAAACAAUGAUUACCCUCUGAAGAAAAAGUGAGUGCACUCAAGUGGAAACGGAAGAUUUAUCGAUCAGUUUUCAGAUUUUAGCAGUAUUUGUUGUUUCUUUGGACAGGCCUUUCCUUGCUUCACAGCCUGAUCCUGUCCACACUCCACUCACACAGCUCACUGGGCAGUACAGUUUUUGUUGCCUUUCUUGAUGAACCUGAUCUCCUUCUGUGAUGAAGUGACGCG